GUGUGUUAUGGGUUGCAGUGAGGGAGGACACACACCAUGAGGAACCGUCGGGGCAUCUCAGUUAGAGUUGUGAGGUUAUCCGGGAGAGGGUUUAAGGAAGUGAGGCUUUACUCUGGAUUAGAUGCUGUCAGGAAGUGGGGGUAAUUCUCUGAUUGGGCAUCUCCAGAAUUCUUGCCUGAAAGGAGGGAACAGUAGACUGAGGCUGAAACUGUAGUUGGUAAAGAAGCUGAAGCCCCUCAUUAGCCAGCAUAGGGGAUGUUUGCUCAUUUUUUGUGGUUUGGACAAUGUUCACGUUGUAUCUGUGUUCAGAUAUAAUUAAGGAUUGGUCUUGUUUUUUGUCUUGAUCUAUCACGGUCACCGAAUGGCCUCGUCUGAUGUUUGUAUUCUGUGAAAUUAUGUUCCACAGAGGCCAGGCUGUCAUCUAGUAACAUUACAGCCCAGCUGAUUGUGCCAGGUCCAGCUUCCAAAUGUCAGAAGCUGCUUUCCCUUUCUCAAGUGUUUUGAGUUCUCUGCACCUGUAAAUUGAGGGAACUGGAUGACCUAGAAAUCUUUCCAUUUCCAAGGACCAAGUUCUGACAGAAAUUUGUAUGCAUGCAGGACACAGUGUAAGUUCUGUGCAGGUAGAGUUUGAAGUUUCAUUGUCCUUAUCUAGUGCUUUCCACCAAGGAAACUGAAAAAGAAGUGAUAGGAAGGAGGAGCACAGAAUUGGAAAGUUACUACCACUGACUUGCUGUCUGAAUUUUGCAAGACCCUUUCCCUUUUCUGGGCCUUGGGACAUUCAUUAGUAAAACAAAGGGGUUGGAAUAAACGACCUCUGUUUCAGUUACCUAUUGCAUCAUAAUAAAUCACCCCAAGACUUAGUAGCUUAAAAUAAAAGUGGUUUAUUAUUUUUUACAAUUGUGUGAGUUGACCGGACUCAGCUGGGCCCACAUAGUAUAAGCUGAGAUUACUCAUGGGACUCCAGUCAGCUGGGAGCUCAUCAAAGCAGCUUCUCAUCUUCUAAGGCCUCUCUUCUCCACCUGGCUUCUUAUCAUGCAAACUUCUGCAUGGCAACUAGCUUCAAGAGGACAAGCUUCAAUGAGCAAAUGCUUGUCAAACCUUUGGUUGCACUACACUCGUUAACGUCCCAUUAUCCAAAGCAAGUUAUAUCGUCAAGCCCAGAGUCAAUGUAAGAAGGGACUAGACAAGCUUAUGAGUACAGAGAGUCAGGGUUCAUUAGAGGCCACCAAUGUAACAGCCAACCAAGACCUCUAAGGUCCCAGUACUCGCCACAGAACUUAGCACGUGUGGUUAGGGUAAGAGUCACAAGCUGAAUAUGAUCCCCUAACGUUCAUUCUACACCAUCUAUUUUAUCAUUUUAAGAUGUGACAGUUUCACAUUUUAAAAUCUGAAUUUCCAGCUUCUCAUGAAAAAUUCAACUCACUAUACUGGAUCUGAAUGGCAACAAUAUACAAGGGUUAAGUAGCAACUGCCUUCUUUAUACGAAGCAUGUACUCUAUAGAUUUCCUCUGUCACCAUCACUCCCUGUUUGUCAUAUAUGGGUGCUUCCCUCAUUUAAGUUGUGUGCCUAACCAUGUAGAUAUUUGAGUUUGCAACCCUUGGCGUUGGAUCUGUACUGGAGAUAACUCCAGGUUUUUGUCCUUUUAUUAAAACCAUAUCCCACCUUCAGAGGAAAAAGUACUAAUAUUAUUGGGUCAGAUUCUAGGAGUGCAGUGAGAUUAUGAAGUCAUGCAUGUGAUAGAAGUUUUAACCAAGCUAGCUGAGAGGCAACCAAGGCUGAUGAACCAAGGCUUAGCACUUUGCUCUCUCCUCUUCUCCAACAAGAACUCAGUUUUUCAGAUAGCUCUGCACUGGGGUUUACAAGACAUCAUAACAAUGAAGUGGAACAGAUCACUAUGUAAUUUUUAACAUAAUAACUUGGAAAGAAUCCAAAGAAGUUGUAUAACAUGGCUGUGAAACAACUUUCAUUCUCAUAUGGACAAGUCUUCUCAGAACUAACAUUGGAAAACCGAGACCUAAAAAUAAACUCGAUGCUGAAUCUUGUCUCAUUCCAGCAACAAGUAAUAUUCAUGCACGGAUAUGCAAACUUUUUUUAAUUAUUUGCUGAUUUAAAGAUGUAGUUCCAAUAAAAUUCUGUGUUUAUGUUUAAU
Long non-coding RNA from Equus asinus (donkey), 2150 nucleotides. The record is from Ensembl. Lineage: Eukaryota; Metazoa; Chordata; Mammalia; Perissodactyla; Equidae.